This 65-nucleotide transfer RNA is filed under the name Paratapes undulatus (undulate venus clam). RNAcentral's name for it is "tRNA-His". The record is from RNAcentral. Lineage: Eukaryota; Metazoa; Mollusca; Bivalvia; Venerida; Veneridae.
GCUAAGCUAGUUUAAUAAAAAUGUUUUUUUGUGGGGAAAGAGAUAGCGGUUUCCGCUGGUUAGUU